This 62-nucleotide transfer RNA is filed under the name Acantholachesilla sp. AcspLA. Its description in RNAcentral is "tRNA-Val". The record is from RNAcentral. Lineage: Eukaryota; Metazoa; Arthropoda; Insecta; Psocodea; Lachesillidae.
CAAAAAAUAGCUUAAAUUAAAGCAAUUUAUUUACAUUAAAAUGAUACUUUUUGUUUUUUUGA